This 583-nucleotide ribosomal RNA is filed under the name Staphylococcus aureus. Its description in RNAcentral is "bacterial LSU rRNA". It matches the Rfam family "Bacterial large subunit ribosomal RNA", at positions 1582 to 2166 of the family's 2925-position model. Lineage: Bacteria; Bacillati; Bacillota; Bacilli; Caryophanales; Staphylococcaceae. The record is from RNAcentral.
GUCUUCGAGUCGUUGAUUUCACACUGCCGAGAAAAGCCUCUAGAUAGAAAAUAGGUGCCCGUACCGCAAACCGACACAGGUAGUCAAGAUGAGAAUUCUAAGGUGAGCGAGCGAACUCUCGUUAAGGAACUCGGCAAAAUGACCCCGUAACUUCGGGAGAAGGGGUGCUCUUUAGGGUUAACGCCCAGAAGAGCCGCAGUGAAUAGGCCCAAGCGACUGUUUAUCAAAAACACAGGUCUCUGCUAAACCGUAAGGUGAUGUAUAGGGGCUGACGCCUGCCCGGUGCUGGAAGGUUAAGAGGAGUGGUUAGCUUCUGCGAAGCUACGAAUCGAAGCCCCAGUAAACGGCGGCCGUAACUAUAACGGUCCUAAGGUAGCGAAAUUCCUUGUCGGGUAAGUUCCGACCCGCACGAAAGGCGUAACGAUUUGGGCACUGUCUCAACGAGAGACUCGGUGAAAUCAUAGUACCUGUGAAGAUGCAGGUUACCCGCGACAGGACGGAAAGACCCCGUGGAGCUUUACUGUAGCCUGAUAUUGAAAUUCGGCACAGCUUGUACAGGAUAGGUAGGAGCCUUUGAAACGUG